CCGCCACCUCCCACCUCCUCUCCAUCUCCUCUCAUCUCCCUUGCAGAUCGGGCAGCGAGGUGACAACUGAAUCCUGACGGCGGCGAGCUCUCGAGGAGCAGCGGUGAGGGGAGUGCGGGCUACGCGCGGUGGGGAGCCAUGUGGGGGCAGAGGCACAACUCGUGGCGGCCGCCGGAGGGCACCGGCGCCGGCGCGCGAUGCGGGAGCCGGGACGGGGCGGUGGCGGGCGGGCUACGCGUCGGCACGCGAUGGGGAGCCGGGAGGGGGAGCGCAGGCACGGCGCGUGGCGACCGCCGCAGGGCCGAGCCACAGAGGGCGCCGGCGUCGGCACGCGGUGCGGAAGCUGGGAGGGGGCGGUGGCAGGCGGGCUGUGGGCAGCGGCGUGUCGGCACUCGGCGUGGCGCCGGGAAGGGUCGCGGGGACGGCGCGUGGUGACCGCCGGAGGGCCGAGCCACGAAGGGGGCGGCGCUGGAGACCGAAGGGCCGAGGGCGUAGCGUGUGGGCGUCCUGUCAGGCGGCGGGAAGCAGGCGGCGGCACGCGUGCUCCAGUUUGCAGACUGCAGUGCUGCUCCGGCGUCGGGCGAUCCGGUAAACUUCUGACAAUGGUUUCCAGGUUGCUGCAGUGAUGGUAGGGCAGAUAUUGGGGUGAGCGGCUCCGUCUCUUUGGUGGCGGUGCUUUGGCUGACCACCAUUUUCAGGACAAUCCUGACUAUUUUGAGUGAUGUAAAGGUUCUGAAAAUUGAAUUGCUGCUGAAAUCCCAUAGCCGGUCAUUGGCUCAGUCCACUGGUAGCCCAUCUGGGCCUAACACUCCGAAUGCAUUGGCCUGGUCAGUCAACAUGUGAUGUAAUUGAACUUGUUUUAGAUGGUGAUUUGUGGAUGUAAUUAGUUGAUCAUGUAAUUGACUUGUGGAUAACCUAUGAUAUUUGUUUGUUUUUUUCUAAA
Oryza brachyantha (malo sina) is the source of this 943-nucleotide long non-coding RNA. RefSeq lists it as uncharacterized. NCBI's taxonomy places the organism in Eukaryota, Viridiplantae, Streptophyta, Magnoliopsida, Poales, Poaceae. The record is from RefSeq and is a predicted model, not a curated record. The transcript has 2 exons.